This 425-nucleotide ribosomal RNA is filed under the name uncultured bacterium. Its description in RNAcentral is "bacterial SSU rRNA". It matches the Rfam family "Bacterial small subunit ribosomal RNA", at positions 354 to 796 of the family's 1533-position model. The record is from RNAcentral.
GUGGGGAAUAUUGGACAAUGGGGGCAACCCUGAUCCAGCCAUGCCGCGUGAGUGAAGAAGGCCUUCGGGUUGUAAAGCUCUUUCGACGGGGACGAUGAUGACGGUACCCGUAUAAGAAGCCCCGGCUAACUUCGUGCCAGCAGCCGCGGUAAUACGAAGGGGGCUAGCGUUGUUCGGAAUUACUGGGCGUAAAGCGCGCGUAGGCGGUGAUCUUUGUCAGAGGUGAAAGCCCGGGGCUCAACUCCGGAAUUGCCUUUGAAACGGGAUCGCUAGAGUCCGAGAGAGGAUGGCGGAAUUCCUAGUGUAGAGGUGAAAUUCGUAGAUAUUAGGAAGAACACCGGUGGCGAAGGCGGCCAUCUGGCUCGGUACUGACGCUCAGGCGCGAAAGCGUGGGGAGCAAACAGGAUUAGAUACCCCGGUAGUCC